CAGUCGCCGCGGUAAUACGAAGGGGGCUAGCGUUGCUCGGAAUGACUGGGCGUAAAGGGCGCGUAGGCGGCGAUCAAAGUCAGGCGUGAAAUUCCUGGGCUCAACCUGGGGGCUGCGCUUGAUACUUGGUUGCUUGAGUGGGGAAGAGGGUCGUGGAAUUCCCAGUGUAGAGGUGAAAUGCGUAGAUAUCGGAAGGAACACCUGUGGCGAAAGCGGCUCACUGGACACUAACUGACGCUGAGGCACGAAAGCUAGGGGAGCAAACAGGAUUAGAUACCCCAGUAGUCCCUGUCUCUUAUAC
RNAcentral lists this ribosomal RNA (301 nucleotides) under uncultured bacterium. Its description in RNAcentral is "partial 16S ribosomal RNA". It matches the Rfam family "Bacterial small subunit ribosomal RNA", at positions 509 to 807 of the family's 1533-position model. The record is from RNAcentral.